GACGAACGCUGGCGGCGUGCUUAACACAUGCAAGUCGAACGGUAAGGCUCCAGCUUGCUGGGGUACACGAGUGGCGAACGGGUGAGUAACACGUGGGUGACCUGCCCUGCACUUCGGGAUAAGCCUGGGAAACUGGGUCUAAUACCGGAUAGGACUGCACCGUGAGGGUGUGGUGGAAAGUUUUUUCGGUGUGGAAUGGGCCCGCGGCCUAUCAGCUUGUUGGUGGGGUAAUGGCCUGCCAAGGCGGCGACGGGUAGCCGGCCUGAGAGGGUGGACGGCCACAUUGGGACUGAGACACGGCCCAGACUCCUACGGGAGGCAGCAGUGGGGAAUAUUGCACAAUGGGCGGAAGCCUGAUGCAGCGACGCCGCGUGGGGGAUGACGGCCUUCGGGUUGUAACCUCCUUUCACCAUCGACGAAGGGUUUCUGACGGUAGAUGGAGAAGAAGCACCGGCUAACUACGUGCCAGCAGCCGCGGUAAUACGUAGGGUGCGAGCGUUGUCCGGAAUUACUGGGCGUAAAGAGCUCGUAGGUGGUUUGUCGCGUCGUCUGUGAAAUUCCGGGGCUUAACUCCGGGCGUGCAGGCGAUACGGGCAUAACUUGAGUACUGUAGGGGAGACUGGAAUUCCUGGUGUAGCGGUGAAAUGCGCAGAUAUCAGGAGGAACACCGGUGGCGAAGGCGGGUCUCUGGGCAGUAACUGACGCUGAGGAGCGAAAGCAUGGGGAGCGAACAGGAUUAGAUACCCUGGUAGUCCAUGCCGUAAACGGUGGGCGCUAGGUGUGGGUUUCCUUCCACGGGAUCCGUGCCGUAGCUAACGCAUUAAGCGCCCCGCCUGGGGAGUACGGCCGCAAGGCUAAAACUCAAAGGAAUUGACGGGGGCCCGCACAAGCGGCGGAGCAUGUGGAUUAAUUCGAUGCAACGCGAAGAACCUUACCUGGGCUUGACAUAUACAGGAUCGCGCCAGAGAUGGUGUUUCCCUUGUGGCUUGUAUACAGGUGGUGCAUGGUUGUCGUCAGCUCGUGUCGUGAGAUGUUGGGUUAAGUCCCGCAACGAGCGCAACCCUUGUCUUAUGUUGCCAGCACGUUGUGGUGGGGACUCGUAAGAAACUGCCGGGGUUAACUCGGAGGAAGGUGGGGAUGACGUCAAAUCAUCAUGCCCCUUAUGUCCAGGGCUUCACACAUGCUACAAUGGUCGGUACAGUGGGUUGCCAGUCCGUGAGGGCGAGCUAAUCCCGCAAAGCCGGUCUCAGUUCGGAUCGGGGUCUGCAACUCGACCCCGUGAAGUCGGAGUCGCUAGUAAUCGCAGAUCAGCAACGCUGCGGUGAAUACGUUCCCGGGCCU
RNAcentral lists this ribosomal RNA (1341 nucleotides) under uncultured bacterium. RNAcentral describes it as "partial 16S ribosomal RNA". It matches the Rfam family "Bacterial small subunit ribosomal RNA", at positions 28 to 1381 of the family's 1533-position model. The record is from RNAcentral.